This 498-nucleotide ribosomal RNA is filed under the name uncultured bacterium. RNAcentral describes it as "partial 16S ribosomal RNA". It matches the Rfam family "Bacterial small subunit ribosomal RNA", at positions 30 to 523 of the family's 1533-position model. The record is from RNAcentral.
AUUGAACGCUGGCGGCAUGCCUUACACAUGCAAGUCGAACGGUAACAGGUCUUCGGAUGCUGACGAGUGGCGAACGGGUGAGUAAUACAUCGGAACGUGCCUAGUAGUGGGGGAUAACUACUCGAAAGAGUGGCUAAUACCGCAUGAGAUCUACGGAUGAAAGCAGGGGAUCGCAAGACCUUGUGCUACUAGAGCGGCCGAUGGCAGAUUAGGUAGUUGGUGGGGUAAAGGCUCACCAAGCCAACGAUCUGUAGCUGGUCUGAGAGGACGACCAGCCACACUGGGACUGAGACACGGCCCAGACUCCUACGGGAGGCAGCAGUGGGGAAUUUUGGACAAUGGGGGCAACCCUGAUCCAGCAAUGCCGCGUGCAGGAAGAAGGCCUUCGGGUUGUAAACUGCUUUUGUACGGAACGAAACGGUCUGGGUUAAUACCCUGGGCUAAUGACGGUACCGUAAGAAUAAGCACCGGCUAACUACGUGCCAGCAGCCGCGGUAA